UGAUCACUUUGCAAACUCAUACAUCUGUCACCUUUAAACGCUUCACUUUCUGAGGCCUCAUUCUUUGAAUAGAUGUAAACUAUAGCCAUGUACAACAAUGUCAAGCUCGUCUGCUCUUUUGUCCACGGACUGACUCUUCGAGCUACUUGAGAAACUGCAAGCCGCUUCUGGUGUGAGAGAAUUGGCCCUCUGCAAGGAUGUUGCCCAGGGGAUGCCCGGAUGUUUUGAUGUUUUACCAUCCUUGUGGGAGGCUUCUCUCAUAUCCCUACAUGGAGCUGGAGCUGACAGAGAGAGCUCAUCUGUGCUCUCCCCCGGUUGGAAUCGAACUGGAAACCUUCAGGAGGUGCCUUUAUAAUACACUGAAAACAUUAAAAAAGAGAUUCACAUCUGCAGAAAGCAGCACGCAUCAGAUUUCCACAUCAUUUUGCCUGUCUGUAGUAAUAGACAAAUGAGAAGUAACUGCACUUACAUGAGCAGGUUGUGGCAAUACUUGUGCAGCCUUCCCUGCAUGGAGAACUGAAUCAUUUAUGGGUCACAAUCCAGGCAUUCCUCUUCAAAAAUGAUAGAUGAUGUUCAUGCGUCAACUGAGUUACUAACAUCAUUGGACUGGUAGAUACCAGCUAUUUUAAUGGAGAAUUAACAACGGAGUCCAGAAAGUAAGACUAUGUUGAUUGUUGUUUUUUUUGUUGUUUUUUUUGUCAGGUGUCUUCAGGUCACAAGCUUAUGGUGUUGCUAGACAAAAACUAGACAACUAAUGGCCUUGCUGAACAAGUUGUUAUUCUUCUGAUUAGUACACUUUCAGCAAGAUGCAAAUUUGAAAAUGAAAGAAACAUGUAGCAAAGUGAGCUAGAUCUUUUACAAAAAAGUAUUUUCCUUAUAGUCAAAGGCCUAAAGGAAAAGUCUUGUAUUAUUUACAGAACACCUACUGCUUCGAUUUAGUGAAUAUGGAGAUCUUGCUGGGUUAGAUAUUAUGUUCCCUUCUAUUUCUUUGAAUUAAUCAAUGAAAUGGGUCUUAACAUAAAGAAAAAGCCUGGCAAACACAAGUAUUUCUGCUUCUAUGGGAUAAAGUGUUUAUAAUUCCUUCACAUUUUUCACAUCAUAAACAGAGUUUGUAAUAUUUAUGCAUUUAACUAAUAUGUUGGAACCUGUUAAGAAUGCAGAAAUUUAGAAACUUGCAGCUCAAGGGCUGAAUACUCUUGGGGGUGUCAAAUAAAUAAACAAAUAUAUCUGUUUG
This is a long non-coding RNA of Anolis carolinensis (green anole), 1234 nucleotides long. RefSeq lists it as uncharacterized. The transcript has 5 exons. The record is from RefSeq and is a predicted model, not a curated record. NCBI's taxonomy places the organism in Eukaryota, Metazoa, Chordata, Lepidosauria, Squamata, Anolidae.